RNAcentral lists this ribosomal RNA (545 nucleotides) under uncultured bacterium. RNAcentral describes it as "partial 16S ribosomal RNA". The record is from RNAcentral.
ACGGAACCCGUGGAAUGGACCCCACACCUAGUACCCACCGUUUACAGCGUGGACUACCAGGGUAUCUAAGCCUGUUCGCUCCCCACGCUUUCGCUCCUCAGCGUCAGGAAAGGCCCAGAGAACCGCCUUCGCCACUGGUGUUCCUCCUGAUAUCUGCGCAUUCCACCGCUCCACCAGGAAUUCCAUUCUCCCCUACCUUCCUCAAGUCAACCCGUAUCGAAAGCACGCUCAGGGUUAAGCCCCAAGAUUACACUUCCGACGCGAUCAACCACCUACGAGCCCUUUACGCCCAAUAAAUCCGGACAACGCUCGCACCCUACGUAUCACCGCGGCUGCUGGCACGUAGUUAGCCGGUGCUUCUUUACCCAUUACCGUCACUCACGCUUCGUCACAGGCGAAAGCGGUUUACAACCCGAAGGCCGUCAUCCCGCACGCGGCGUUGCUGCAUCAGGCUUCCGCCCGUUGUGCAAUAUUCCCCACUGCUGCCUCCCGUAGGAGUCUGGGCCGUAUCUCAGUCCCAAUGUGGCCGGUCACCCUCUCAGGCC